RNAcentral lists this ribosomal RNA (253 nucleotides) under uncultured bacterium. RNAcentral's name for it is "partial 16S ribosomal RNA". It matches the Rfam family "Bacterial small subunit ribosomal RNA", at positions 524 to 776 of the family's 1533-position model. The record is from RNAcentral.
UACGAAGGGGGCUAGCGUUGUUCGGAUUUACUGGGCGUAAAGCGCACGUAGGCGGAUCGUUAAGUCGAGGGUGAAAUCCUGGAGCUCAACUCCAGAACUGCCUUCGAUACUGGCGAUCUAGAGUCCGGAAGAGGUGAGUGGAACUCCUAGUGUAGAGGUGGAAUUCGUAGAUAUUAGGAAGAACACCAGUGGCGAAGGCGGCUCACUGGUCCGGUACUGACGCUGAGGUGCGAAAGCGUGGGGAGCAAACAGG